Molecule: long non-coding RNA, 294 nt
Organism: Felis catus (domestic cat)
Lineage: Eukaryota; Metazoa; Chordata; Mammalia; Carnivora; Felidae
Exons: 2
Source: RefSeq, a predicted model, not a curated record
AACCAGGCACCCCUGCAGGUAUGAUCUUUCAAGGAAAGGAUUAAAUUAUACUCUGAGAAUGUUCUGUAAGGGACAGUGGCUCUGAAUAGUUAUUUCUCUAUUCUCCAUUCUCCAUGUGCUAAUGGAAGAAACUUUGCGUGAUUUAAAGAAUAAAGAGGGCAGUAAUCAAGUGCUGCAAAUACAAUUAACAAGCAACAGCUACUGUAACUGCGAACACAUCCACCACUGCUCUUAAUCGAUUUCCACCAUUACCACUGCCACCACCAAGAGUGAUGUGUAAAAGAAGUCAAGGGU